UGGGGAAUAAUCCCGGGAAACUGGGGCUAAUACCCCAUAGAUUAUGAAUGCUGGAAUGCUUCGUAGUUCAAAGGUCAGCCGCCUUAGGAUGAGUCUGCGGCCGAUUAGGUAGUUGUUGGGGUAACGGCCCAACAAGCCUGUAAUCGGUACGGGUUGUGGGAGCAAGAGCCCGGAGAUGGAUUCUGAGACACAAAUCCAGGCCCUACGGGGCGCAGCAGGCGCGAAAACUUUACAAUGUGGGAAACCGUGAUAAGGGAACUCCGAGUGCCCGUUAAAUCGGGCUGUCCACCAGUUUAAAAAACUGGUGAAGAAAGGGCCGGGCAAGACCGGUGCCAGCCGCCGCGGUAAUACCGGCGGCUCGAGUGGUGGCCACUAUUACUGGGCUUAAAGCGUUCGUAGCUGGUUUGUUAAGUCUCUGGGGAAAUCUUCCGGCUUAACCGGAAGGCGUCUCAGGGAUACUGGCAGACUAGGGACCGGAAGAGGUGAGGGGUACUCCAGGGGUAGGAGUGAAAUCCUGUAAUCCUUGGGGGACCACCUGUGGCGAAGGCGCCUCACCAGGACGGCUCCGACAGUGAGGGACGAAAGCUGGGGGAGCAAACCGGAUUAGAUACCCGGGUAGUCCCAGCCGUAAACGAUGUGCGUUAGGUGUAUCGGUGACCACGAGUCACCGAGGUGCCGAAGAGAAAUCGUGAAACGUACCGCCUGGGAAGUACGGUCGCAAGGCUGAAACUUAAAGGAAUUGGCGGGGGAG
RNAcentral lists this ribosomal RNA (751 nucleotides) under uncultured archaeon. Its description in RNAcentral is "bacterial SSU rRNA". It matches the Rfam family "Archaeal small subunit ribosomal RNA", at positions 120 to 876 of the family's 1478-position model. The record is from RNAcentral.